GGAAGGGGCUUGAGGGGCUUGAGGGGCAGGCCCCCCGAGCGGGGCGACCAGGCGGACGGCCCGGGUGGGCUCCGUGCUUAGCCCGGGUCCCCCUCCCCCGCCAGCUCCUUUCUGCGAGCGAGACCAUUCCGGCCAUCCUCCUGCUCCCUUCCGGGGAUUCCUGGAAGGCAGCGGAUCCAGAGGGUUGCUCCCCUCCCUCCCCGGUGUUGUUCCCCUCCCAGAAUCCAGAACCCCAGACUCAGGAAAGAACGGCCCCUGCUGUCCCUUCCUCGCUUUCGGUCCCAAUCACGUUGUCAAGCUUUUGUGUGAACCGACCCAGCUGUAACCCUUCCCCACUCGGCCUACCAUGAGGCAGAGUCCCUGAGAGGUGCUGCAGCCUCGCUGCCCUCCGUCCUCCUACCCACCUGGAGGCAGGGUGGACCCCAGGACAUAGGUGCCCCCUUUCCGCAUGGAAAAGGCCAGCAUCACCCUGCUCCCAAAAGCAGAGUCACAGAAAGGUCUGGUGGAACCUGCCGCUGCCCAGCAACGUCAGGACGACCGAGUCGGCAGGAAUUGGGUGGUGUUACGGUGUUACAACUGAGCACCCUUGCAGCAGGUCAGGGAAGGAAAGCCGGCCACCUCCAGGGCACCCUCCUCAUUCAAGAUGCAGAAAGAAGAGAUGAUGGCUCCCCUCAAGUUCCUUCCUGCCCGAAGCCACCAGGGUUCAUUCUGUGGUCUAACUGCUAGCCCUCUACUGACAGGUUAAGUCUAGAUCCCCAGAAAGAAAGGC
RNAcentral lists this long non-coding RNA (769 nucleotides) under Cricetulus griseus (Chinese hamster). RNAcentral describes it as "lncRNA (ENSCGRG00015041976.1)". The record is from RNAcentral. Lineage: Eukaryota; Metazoa; Chordata; Mammalia; Rodentia; Cricetidae.